Molecule: ribosomal RNA, 395 nt
Filed under: uncultured bacterium
Lineage: Bacteria
Description: partial 16S ribosomal RNA
Rfam family: Bacterial small subunit ribosomal RNA
Source: RNAcentral
CCUACGGGAGGCAGCAGUGAGGAAUAUUGGUCAAUGGGCGUAAGCCUGAACCAGCCAAGUCGCGUGAGGGAUGAAGGUUCUGUGGAUCGUAAACCUCUUUUAUCAGGGAAUAAAGUGUGGGACGUGUCCUGGGAUGUAUGUACCUUAUGAAUAAGGAUCGGCUAACUCCGUGCCAGCAGCCGCGGUAAUACGGAGGAUCCGAGCGUUAUCCGGAUUUAUUGGGUUUAAAGGGUGCGUAGGCGGCCUUUUAAGUCAGCGGUGAAAGUCUGUGGCUCAACCCUCGAACUGCCGUUGAAACUGGGAGGCUUGAGUAGGUGUGAGGUAGGCGGAAUGCGCGGUGUAGCGGUGAAAUGCUUAGAUAUCACGCAGAACCCCGAUUGCGAAGGCAGCAUGCC